Molecule: long non-coding RNA, 1029 nt
Filed under: Nicotiana tabacum (common tobacco)
Lineage: Eukaryota; Viridiplantae; Streptophyta; Magnoliopsida; Solanales; Solanaceae
Description: long non-coding RNA (NTAB_LNC005488)
Source: RNAcentral
CGCGUCCUUCCUGAUAUUCUUCAUCUAGAAUUUUUUAUUUCUCUAUUAGCUCAGUUCUCCAACUAGCCUUCUUUCACUUUUUUACUUUGUCCAGUGGUCUAUCAUUUGAGCUUCUAUCUUUUUCUUAUUUUUGUUAUACCAAUGCGGUAUCCCAGUGGUUAAACCCAUAGUUGAAGACAGAGAUGAGUAAACGAGGUAUGUGCCAAUAACUUUAUUUCUUUUCAGUUCUUUAGACUACUACAAAGGGAAUUGUUCAAGCAUUUGGACUACUUCUCUUGUUAAAUAAAUAUAAAAUAGAAGAUCGAAAUUCGACUCAAGGUGGUGGAAUUGGUGACAGAUUGUACUCUUGAUAUAGGUGGUUUAAUGAAUUGAGAUGAAAUCAGAUUUCGAAUGCAACUGUGUUUCACAAUUUGGGAUAAAGUUGUGUGCUACUGUAAUAUCUGUGCCGAUCGAAGAAAACGCUCACAUGAUUCUUGCCGGAUAGAGCACUCUUGGAGCUUUCAAACUUCUGAAUUGGAAUAUUGAGGUAUAACCCCUUAAAUUGCUAUUUUUAAAUUGUUUCUGUAUUUUCAUUUAUUUUCUUUAUUUAUUAUAAUAAUUAGUUAAAGAUUGAUUCUCUGCUAAUUUUGAGGUGUAACCCCUUUGAAAUUUUGAUUUCUUUUGAGGUAUAUAACUGGUGAAAUUUUUGAUAAUCGCUGAUUGAAAUUUUGAUGUAUAACCCCCUUUUCUAGAUUUGUCUACAUUGCCCGACUGCUUUGCGCAUUGGUUCCUCAUCUAUGCUCUUAUAGUCUCGUUCUUUCCCUGACCGAGUUUUUUCUUUUCCAUUAUUUCUCUUUUAUUUUAUCUUCAAAACCUCCUCUUGAAUGAGGGUUGAAAUUGAUUCGUUGAUCCGAAAUGACAACUUUUUACUUUACUUCCUUUAUUUGUUAUUUCAACUAUUAAAACAUUUUAUAAUGUGCUUUCGUUGUCAAUAUAAUCGAUGUGGAGUAUGGGAAUUUAACAUCAUAAAGGUGAUAACUUGGUAAUUAG